AUUGAACGCUGGCGGCAUGCCUUACACAUGCAAGUCGAACGGCAGCACGGGGCAACCUGGUGGCGAGUGGCGAGCGGGUGAGUAAUGCAUCGGAACGUGCCAUUGAGUGGGGGAUAACGUAGCGAAAGUUGCGCUAAUACCGCAUAUUCUGUGAGCAGGAAAGCAGGGGACCGCAAGGCCUUGCGCUCUUUGAGCGGCCGAUGUCAGAUUAGCUAGUUGGUGAGGUAACGGCUUACCAAGGCGACGAUCUGUAGCGGGUCUGAGAGGAUGAUCCGCCACACUGGAACUGAGACACGGUCCAGACUCCUACGGGAGGCAGCAGUGGGGAAUUUUGGACAAUGGGCGCAAGCCUGAUCCAGCCAUGCCGCGUGAGUGAAGAAGGCCUCGG
Molecule: ribosomal RNA, 388 nt
Filed under: uncultured bacterium
Lineage: Bacteria
Description: bacterial SSU rRNA
Rfam family: Bacterial small subunit ribosomal RNA
Source: RNAcentral